RNAcentral lists this unclassified non-coding RNA (433 nucleotides) under soil metagenome. RNAcentral describes it as "partial contains 5.8S ribosomal RNA, internal transcribed spacer 2, and large subunit ribosomal RNA". The stretch from base 1 to 120 matches the Rfam family "5.8S ribosomal RNA", at positions 35 to 154 of the family's 154-position model. The record is from RNAcentral.
GAUGAAGAACGUAGCGAAAUGCGAUACGUAAUGUGAAUUGCAGAAUUCAGUGAAACAUCGAAUCUUUGAACGCAUAUUGCGCUCUCUGGUAUUCCGGAGAGCAUGCUUGUUUGAGUAUCAGUAAACACCUCAACUUCCAUAUCUUUUUUGAAAUGGGAGUUGGACUUGAGUGAUCCCAACGCUUUUCCUCACCGAAAAGUGGCGGGUUACUUGAAAUGCAGGUGCAGCUGGACUUUUCUCUGAGCUAUAAGCAUAUCUAUUUAGUCUGCCUAAAAAACAGAUUAUUACCUUUGCUGCAGCUAACAUAAAGGAGAUUAGUUCUUGUGCUGACUGAUGCAGGAUUCACAAAGACAGGCUUCGGCCGACUUUGUAAACUCGAUCUCAAAUCAAGUAAGACUACCCGCUGAACUUAAGCAUAUCAAUAAGCGGAGGA